AGCGCGCGCGCCUUGCUAACUUCCAAUGCAGCACAGCCCUUGCCGCCGUUCGCGCCCUGGCGAUUGCCGGCACGUCAGCUCGGGCUGGGCCAAUGGCGAGCGCCCACGUCGGGAGAAUGCCUCGUGACCGCGCGUCACCGGAGAGAAAGGCCUUUUCCUUUCUUCUUGCGCCUCUUUCCCCUCCCCCAUGCAGGCUUCUCGGUCUCCAUUUCCGAAUUCAUUCCAGUCCUGUGCCUGAACUAAAACCACUUGUUUCUAUCCUACAAUUUUAAGGUUUCAAGAAAGGCUCGACCCCUCGAAUCAUUUUUCCAGCUUCCAAAUGCUAGGGACCAAUGUAUAUGACUGGCGACGCCCACAUGAGAGGGCCUGUACUGAAAAUCCAUGCGACACUGACAUGCAUGAAUCAUGGGGCACCUUGGACAGGCCUCAAAAUGCGGCUGAUUUACUGAAUUUUUAUCCUUAACGACCUGAGUCAGGACUAAUGGAGUUCUCGGCGGACACAACAUCUUCGUUGGUAUGUGGUGCUGAGGAUCAAACCCGGGCCGCACGCAUGCCAGGCGAGCGCGCUACCGCUUGAGCCACAUCCCCAGCCCCAACAAUGUUGUAUGUUAACUUGAGAAACAGGAUUACUAAAUCAUUCCAUCUAGGAAUAUUGUAUGUUAGUCCAUUUAUUCAGGUGUUUGUCCUUUAAUAAAUGUGAAUUUUUCCCUUUGGAAUUA
Ictidomys tridecemlineatus (thirteen-lined ground squirrel) is the source of this 719-nucleotide non-coding RNA. Lineage: Eukaryota; Metazoa; Chordata; Mammalia; Rodentia; Sciuridae. The record is from RefSeq and is a predicted model, not a curated record.